UAUUACUGCGAUGGGGUGACGGAGAAGCGUAAAGUCCGCCAACUGACGGAAUAGUUGGUUAAAGUGCGUAGGUGUUGAGUCAGUAGGCAAAUCCGCUGAUGAACUGAAACAUGAUAGUACUCAGAUCCUUUCGGGGUGAAGAGAUAGUGACUCCAAGCAUACUUCCAAGAAAAACCUCUAAGCUUCAGGUAAUAACAGCCCGUACCAUAAACCGACACAGGUAGUCGAGGAGAAUAUCCUAAGGCGCUCGAGUGAGUCAUGGCUAAGGAACUAGGCAAAUUAGUCUCGUAACUUCGGGAAAAGAGACCCCCACUUCGGUGGGGCGCAGAGAAAUGGCCCAGGCGACUGUUUAGCAAAAACACAGGACUCUGCAAAAUCGAAAGAUGACGUAUAGGGUCUGACACCUGCCCGGUGCCGGAAGGUUAAGGAAGGGGGUUAGCGCAAGCGAAGCUCUUGACUGAAGCCCCGGUAAACGGCGGCCGUAACUAUAACGGUCCUAAGGUAGCGAAAUUCCUUGUCGGGUAAGUUCCGACCUGCACGAAUGGUGUAACGAUCUGGGCACUGUCUCAGCCAUGAGCUCGGUGAAAUUGAAGUAUCGGUGAAGAUGCCGGUUACCCGCCACGGGACGAAAAGACCCCGUGCACCUUUACUAUAGCUUCACAUUGUGCUUGAAUAUAAGAUGUGUAGGAUAGGUGGGAGACUUUGAAGCGGCACGCUAGUGGUUGUGGAGUCAACGUUGAAAUACCACCCUUCUUCUAUUUAGGUUCUAACCCCGUACCCACGGGGGACAGUGUGUGGUGGGUAGUUUGACUGGGGUGGUCGCCUCCUAAAGAGUAACGGAGGCUUGCAAAGGUGCCCUCAGCAUGGACGGUAAUCAUGCGAAGAGCGUAUUAGUAUAAGGGCGCUUGACUGAGAGAGCAACGGCUCGACCAGGUACGAAAGUAGGCUAAAGUGAUCCGGUGUUUCCGCAUGGAAGGGACAUCGCUCAAAGGAUAAAAGGUACGCCGGGGAUAACAGGCUGAUCUCCCCCAAGAGCUCAUAUCGACGGGGAGGUUUGGCACCUCGAUGUCGGUUCGUCACAUCCUGGGGCUGAAGAAGGUCCCAAGGGUUCGGCUGUUCGCCGAUUAAAGUGGCACGUGAACUGGGUUCAGAACGUCGCAAGACAGUUCGGUCUCUAUCUGUGGUGGGCGUUGUAAUAUUGAAGUGAACUGACUCUAGUACGAGAGGACCGAGUUGGACGUACCUCUAGUGUAUCUGUUGUGCCGCCAGGUGCAAUGCAGAGUAGCUAUGUACGGACUAGAUAAGCGCUGAAAGCAUCUAAGCGCGAAGCUAUCCUUAAGAUGAGUAUUACUGGGGUCGUAGAAGACGACUACGUUGAUAGGCUAUAGGUGUAAGCGUAGUAAUACGUUCAGCUGAGUAGUACUAAUUACCCCUUAGCUUCCUUUU
Molecule: ribosomal RNA, 1446 nt
Filed under: metagenome
Description: bacterial LSU rRNA
Rfam family: Bacterial large subunit ribosomal RNA
Source: RNAcentral